GUCUAUUAUGAAGAUAUUAAUAGUCUAGCCUGCUCAGUGAUAUUAAAUAUUAAAUAGCCGCGGUAUUCUGACCGUGCAAAGGUAGCAUAAUAAUUAGUUUUUUAAUUGGAAACUUGUAUGAAUGGUUGGACAAAGAAGAAGCUGUCUCUAAUAUUAAGUUAAAAAUUAACUUCUAAGUGAAAAGGCUUAGAUACUCUAGGGGGACGAUAAGACCCUAUAAAGCUUUAUAAAUAAUUAAGAUUUUAUAUAUGUUUUUAUUAGAAAAAGUCUUGAAUUUUUAUUGGAUUGGGGCGAUAGAGGUAUAAAUAAAAUAACUGCUAUUUUUAUAAUACAAAUAUCAUUGAUUAAAAUUUUAAUUGAUCCUUUUUAAAGAUUAAAAGAUCAAGUUACUUUAGGGAUAACAGCGUAAUUUUUUCUGAGAGUUCUUAUCAAAGAAAAAGUUUGCGACCUCGAUGUUGAAUUAAAAUGUCUUUAUAGUGCAGCCGCUAUAAAAGAAGGUCUGUUCGACCUUUAAUUUUUUACAUGAUUUGAGUUCAGAUCGGCGAGAGCCAGAUCGGUUUCUAUCUCCUAGCUAAAAGAGAAUCGUUUUAGUACGAAAGGAUUAAAUGAUUAAAAUUUUUCUAAGAAUUGAAAUAUA
This 637-nucleotide ribosomal RNA is filed under the name Richerellus moosai. RNAcentral describes it as "partial 16S ribosomal RNA". It matches the Rfam family "Bacterial large subunit ribosomal RNA", at positions 1829 to 2730 of the family's 2925-position model. The record is from RNAcentral. Lineage: Eukaryota; Metazoa; Arthropoda; Malacostraca; Decapoda; Portunidae.